GUCCACGCUGUAAACGAUGGGUGCUAGGUGUCUCGGGUAUUGACCCCCGAGGUGCCGUAGCUAACGCGUUAAGCACUCCGCCUGGGAAGUACGGUCGCAAGACUAAACUCAAAGGAAUUGACGGGGCCCGCACAAGCGGUGGAGCAUGUGGUUUAAUUCGACGCAACGCGCAGAACCUUACCCGGGCUAGAAAAGUACGGAAGUCUUUGGAAACAGAGAUGUGCUCGCAAGAGAGCCGUAAUCCAGGUGCUGCAUGGCUGUCGU
Molecule: ribosomal RNA, 264 nt
Filed under: uncultured bacterium
Lineage: Bacteria
Description: partial 16S ribosomal RNA
Rfam family: Bacterial small subunit ribosomal RNA
Source: RNAcentral